CUAGCACAUGCAGUCGAGCGGAACGAUCCUAGCUUGCUAGGAGGCGUCGAGCGGCGGACGGGUGAGUAAUGCAUAGGAAUCUGCCCGGUAGUGGGGGAUAACUUGAGGAAACUCAAGCUAAUACCGCAUACGCCCUACGGGGGAAAGCAGGGGCUCUUCGGACCUUGCGCUAUCGGAUGAGCUUAUGUCGGAUUAGCUAGUUGGUGAGGUAAUGGCUCACCAAGGCGACGAUCCGUAGCUGGUCUGAGAGGAUGAUCAGCCACAUCGGGACUGAGACACGGCCCGAACUACUACGGGAGGCAGCAGUGGGGAAUAUUGGACAAUGGGGGCAACCCUGAUCCAGCCAUGCCGCGUGUGUGAAGAAGGCCCUCGGGUUGUAAAGCACUUUCAGUGAGGAAGAACGCCUGUCGGUUAAUACCCGGCAGGGGAGACAUCACUCACAGAAGAAGCACCGGCUAACUCCGUGCCAGCAGCCGCGGUAAUACGGAGGGUGCGAGCGUUAAUCGGAAUUACUGGGCGUAAAGCGUGCGUAGGCGGCUUGGUAAGCCGGUUGUGAAAGCCCCGGGCUCAACCUGGGAAUGGCAUCCGGAACUGUCAGGCUAGAGUGCAGGAGAGGAAGGUAGAAUUCCCGGUGUAGCGGUGAAAUGCGUAGAGAUCGGGAGGAAUACCAGUGGCGAAGGCGGCCUUCUGGACUGACACUGACGCUGAGGUACGAAAGCGUGGGUAGCAAACAGGAUUAGAUACCCUGGUAGUCCACGCCGUAAACGAUGUCGACUAAGCCGUUGGGGGUCCUCGAGACCUUUUGGUGGCGCAGUUAAACGCACUAAGGUCGACCCGCCUGGGGGAGUACGGGCCGCAAGGGUUAAAACUCAAAUGGAAUUGGACGGGGGGCCCCGCACAAGGCGGGGGGAGCAUGGUGGUUUAAUUUCGAUGGCACCGCGAA
This 943-nucleotide ribosomal RNA is filed under the name Halomonas eurihalina. RNAcentral's name for it is "bacterial SSU rRNA". It matches the Rfam family "Bacterial small subunit ribosomal RNA", at positions 48 to 965 of the family's 1533-position model. The record is from RNAcentral. Lineage: Bacteria; Pseudomonadati; Pseudomonadota; Gammaproteobacteria; Oceanospirillales; Halomonadaceae.